CUUUACUACAACUUAGCAUUGGCAUUGAGCCAACGGUGUAUAGGAUAGGUGGGAAGCAAAGAAGUGGUGUCGCCAGGCAUCAUGGAGCUGACGUUGAAAUACCACCCUCUGUUUGUUUGAUGUCUAACUCUUGAAAGAGGACAGUGCUUGGCGGGUAGUUUGACUGGGGUGGUCGCCUCCAAAAAAGUAUCGGAGGCUCCCAAAGGUUGGUUCAGCACGCUUGGUAACCGUGCAAAGAGUGUAAUAGCAUAAACCAGCUUGACUGUGAGGCCAACAAGCCGAGCAGGGACGAAAGUCGGGUAUAGUGAUCCGGUGGUUCCGCAUGGAAGGGCCAUCGCUCAAAGGAUAAAAGGUA
This 355-nucleotide ribosomal RNA is filed under the name uncultured organism. Its description in RNAcentral is "bacterial LSU rRNA". It matches the Rfam family "Bacterial large subunit ribosomal RNA", at positions 2099 to 2465 of the family's 2925-position model. The record is from RNAcentral.